CACUAUCGUUAACUGAAUACAUAGGUUAACGAGGCGAACCGGGGGAACUGAAACAUCUAAGUACCCCGAGGAAAAGAAAUCAACCGAGAUUCCCCCAGUAGCGGCGAGCGAACGGGGAGCAGCCCAGAGUCUGAAUCAGCUUGUGUGUUAGUGGAACGGUCUGGAAAGUCCGACGGUACAGGGUGAUAGUCCCGUACACCAAAAUGCACAGGUUGUGAACUCGAAGAGUAGGGCGGGACACGUGGUAUCCUGUCUGAAUAUGGGGGGACCAUCCUCCAAGGCUAAAUACUCCUGACUGACCGAUAGUGAACCAGUACCGUGAGGGAAAGGCGAAAAGAACCCCGGCGAGGGGAGUGAAAAAGAACCUGAAACCGUGUACGUACAAGCAGUGGGAGCACCUUCGGGUGUGACUGCGUACCUUUUGUAUAAUGGGUCAGCGACUUAUAUUCUGUAGCAAGGUUAACCGUAUAGGGGAGCCGCAGGGAAACCGAGUCUUAACUGGGCGUUAAGUUGCAGGGUAUAGACCCGAAACCCGGUGAUCUAGCCAUGGGCAGGUUGAAGGUUGGGUAACACUAACUGGAGGACCGAACCGACUAAUGUUGAAAAAUUAGCGGAUGACUUGUGGCUGGGGGUGAAAGGCCAAUCAAACCGGGAGAUAGCUGGUUCUCCCCGAAAGCUAUUUAGGUAGCGCCUCGUGAACUCAUCUUCGGGGGUAGAGCACUGUUUCGGCUAGGGGGUCAUCCCGACUUACCAACCCGAUGCAAACUACGAAUACCGAAGAAUGUUAUCACGGGAGACACACGGCGGGUGCUAACGUCCGUCGUGAAGAGGGAAACAACCCAGACCGCCAGCUAAGGUCCCAAAGUCAUGGUUAAGUGGGAAACGAUGUGGGAAGGCACAGACAGCCAGGAUGUUGGCUUAGAAGCAGCCAUCAUUUAAAGAAAGCGUAAUAGCUCACUGGUCGAGUCGGCCUGCGCGGAAGAUGUAACGGGGCUAAACCAUGCACCGAAGCUGCGGCAGCGACACUAUGUGUUGUUGGGUAGGGGAGCGUUCUGUAAGCCUGCGAAGGUGNUGCUGGAGGUAUCAGAAGUGCGAAUGCUGACAUAAGUAACGAUAAAGCGGGUGAAAAGCCCGCUCGCCGGAAGACCAAGGGUUCCUGUCCAACGUUAAUCGGGGCAGGGUGAGUCGACCCCUAAGGCGAGGCCGAAAGGCGUAGUCGAUGGGAAACAGGUUAAUAUUCCUGUACUUGGUGUUACUGCGAAGGGGGGACGGAGAAGGCUAUGUUAGCCGGGCGACGGUUGUCCCGGUUUAAGCAUGUAGGCUGGUUGUCCAGGCAAAUCCGGAUAAUCAAGGCUGAGGUGUGAUGACGAGGCACUACGGUGCUGAAGUAACAAAUGCCCUGCUUCCAGGAAAAGCCUCUAAGCAUCAGGUAACAUCAAAUCGUACCCCAAACCGACACAGGUGGUCAGGUAGAGAAUACCAAGGCGCUUGAGAGAACUCGGGUGAAGGAACUAGGCAAAAUGGUGCCGUAACUUCGGGAGAAGGCACGCUGGUGUGUAGGUGAAGUCCCUGCGGAUGGAGCUGAGACCAGUCGAAGAUACCAGCUGGCUGCAACUGUUUAUUAAAAACACAGCACUGUGCAAACACGAAAGUGGACGUAUACGGUGUGACGCCUGCCCGGUGCCGGAAGGUUAAUUGAUGGGGUUAUCCGUAAGGAGAAGCUCUUGAUCGAAGCCCCGGUAAACGGCGGCCGUAACUAUAACGGUCCUAAGGUAGCGAAAUUCCUUGUCGGGUAAGUUCCGACCUGCACGAAUGGCGUAAUGAUGGCCAGGCUGUCUCCACCCGAGACUCAGUGAAAUUGAACUCGCUGUGAAGAUGCAGUGUACCCGCGGCAAGACGGAAAGACCCCGUGAACCUUUACUAUAGCUUGACACUGAACAUUGAGCCUUGAUGUGUAGGAUAGGUGGGAGGCUUUGAAGCGUGGACGCCAGUCUGCGUGGAGCCAACCUUGAAAUACCACCCUUUAAUGUUUGAUGUUCUAACGUUGGCCCCUUACCGGGGUUGCGGACAGUGUCUGGUGGGUAGUUUGACUGGGGCGGUCUCCUCCCAAAGCGUAACGGAGGAGCACGAAGGUUAGCUAAUCCUGGUCGGACAUCAGGAGGUUAGUGCAAUGGCAUAAGCUAGCUUGACUGCGAGCGUGACGGCGCGAGCAGGUGCGAAAGCAGGUCAUAGUGAUCCGGUGGUUCUGAAUGGAAGGGCCAUCGCUCAACGGAUAAAAGGUACUCCGGGGAUAACAGGCUGAUACCGCCCAAGAGUUCAUAUCGACGGCGGUGUUUGGCACCUCGAUGUCGGCUCAUCACAUCCUGGGGCUGAAGUAGGUCCCAAGGGUAUGGCUGUUCGCCAUUUAAAGUGGUACGCGAGCUGGGUUUAGAACGUCGUGAGACAGUUCGGUCCCUAUCUGCCGUGGGCGCUGGAGAAUUGAGGGGGGCUGCUCCUAGUACGAGAGGACCGGAGUGGACGCAUCACUGGUGUUCGGGUUGUCAUGCCAAUGGCACUGCCCGGUAGCUAAAUGCGGAAGAGAUAAGUGCUGAAAGCAUCUAAGCACGAAACUUGCCCCGAGAUGAGUUCUCCCUGAGACUUUAAGUCUCCUGAAGGAACGUUAAAGACGAUGACGUUGAUAGGCCGGGUGUGUAAGCGCAGCGAUGCGUUGAGCUAACCGGUACUAAUGAACCGUGAGGCUUAACCUU
RNAcentral lists this ribosomal RNA (2747 nucleotides) under Klebsiella pneumoniae. RNAcentral's name for it is "23S ribosomal RNA". It matches the Rfam family "Bacterial large subunit ribosomal RNA". Lineage: Bacteria; Pseudomonadati; Pseudomonadota; Gammaproteobacteria; Enterobacterales; Enterobacteriaceae. The record is from RNAcentral. RNAcentral also lists the same sequence under 1 other name.